CCCCGUACACAAAAAUGCACAUGCUGUGAGCUCGAUGAGUAGGGCGGGACACGUGGUAUCCUGUCUGAAUAUGGGGGGACCAUCCUCCAAGGCUAAAUACUCCUGACUGACCGAUAGUGAACCAGUACCGUGAGGGAAAGGCGAAAAGAACCCCGGCGAGGGGAGUGAAAAAGAACCUGAAACCGUGUACGUACAAGCAGUGGGAGCACGCUUAGGCGUGUGACUGCGUACCUUUUGUAUAAUGGGUCAGCGACUUAUAUUCUGUAGCAAGGUUAACCGAAUAGGGGAGCCGAAGGGAAACCGAGUCUUAACUGGGCGUUAAGUUGCAGGGUAUAGACCCGAAACCCGGUGAUCUAGCCAUGGGCAGGUUGAAGGUUGGGUAACACUAACUGGAGGACCGAACCGACUAAUGUUGAAAAAUUAGCGGAUGACUUGUGGCUGGGGGUGAAAGGCCAAUCAAACCGGGAGAUAGCUGGUUCUCCCCGAAAGCUAUUUAGGUAGCGCCUCGUGAAUUCAUCUCCGGGGGUAGAGCACUGUUUCGGCAAGGGGGUCAUCCCGACUUACCAACCCGAUGCAAACUGCGAAUACCGGAGAAUGUUAUCACGGGAGACACACGGCGGGUGCUAACGUCCGUCGUGAAGAGGGAAACAACCCAGACCGCCAGCUAAGGUCCCAAAGUCAUGGUUAAGUGGGAAACGAUGUGGGAAGGCCCAGACAGCCAGGAUGUUGGCUUAGAAGCAGCCAUCAUUUAAAGAAAGCGUAAUAGCUCACUGGUCGAGUCGGCCUGCGCGGAAGAUGUAACGGGGCUAAACCAUGCACCGAAGCUGCGGCAGCGACGCUGAUGCGUUGUUGGGUAGGGGAGCGUUCUGUAAGCCUGCGAAGGUGUGCUGUGAGGCAUGCUGGAGGUAUCAGAAGUGCGAAUGCUGACAUAAGUAACGAUAAAGCGGGUGAAAAGCCCGCUCGCCGGAAGACCAAGGGUUCCUGUCCAACGUUAAUCGGGGCAGGGUGAGUCGACCCCUAAGGCGAGGCCGAAAGGCGUAGUCGAUGGGAAACAGGUUAAUAUUCCUGUACUUGGUGUUACUGCGAAGGGGGGACGGAGAAGGCUAUGUUGGCCGGGCGACGGUUGUCCCGGUUUAAGCGUGUAGGCUGGUUUUCCAGGCAAAUCCGGAAAAUCAAGGCUGAGGCGUGAUGACGAGGCACUACGGUGCUGAAGCAACAAAUGCCCUGCUUCCAGGAAAAGCCUCUAAGCAUCAGGUAACAUCAAAUCGUACCCCAAACCGACACAGGUGGUCAGGUAGAGAAUACCAAGGCGCUUGAGAGAACUCGGGUGAAGGAACUAGGCAAAAUGGUGCCGUAACUUCGGGAGAAGGCACGC
RNAcentral lists this ribosomal RNA (1375 nucleotides) under Escherichia coli. RNAcentral's name for it is "partial 23S ribosomal RNA". It matches the Rfam family "Bacterial large subunit ribosomal RNA", at positions 371 to 1751 of the family's 2925-position model. The record is from RNAcentral. Lineage: Bacteria; Pseudomonadati; Pseudomonadota; Gammaproteobacteria; Enterobacterales; Enterobacteriaceae.